RNAcentral lists this ribosomal RNA (398 nucleotides) under uncultured bacterium. Its description in RNAcentral is "bacterial SSU rRNA". It matches the Rfam family "Bacterial small subunit ribosomal RNA", at positions 361 to 776 of the family's 1533-position model. The record is from RNAcentral.
AUUUUCGGCAAUGGGGGAAACCCUGACCGAGCAACGCCGCGUGAGGGAUGAAGGCCUUCGGGUCGUAAACCUCUGUCUUUGGGGACGAUAAUGACGGUACCCGAGGAGGAAGCCCCGGCUAACUACGUGCCAGCAGCCGCGGUAAUACGUAGGGGGCGAGCGUUGUCCGGAAUUACUGGGCGUAAAGGGCGUGUAGGCGGCCUGUUAAGUCAGGCGUGAAAACCCCGGGCUUAACCUGGGGACUGCGUUUGAAACUGGUGGGCUUGAGGGCAGGAGAGGAAAGUGGAAUUCCCGGUGUAGCGGUGAUAUGCGUAGAUACCGGGAGGAACACCAGUGGCGAAGGCGGCUUUCUGGACUGCACCUGACGCUGAGGCGCGAAAGCCAGGGGAGCGAACGGG